This 99-nucleotide non-coding RNA is filed under the name Hymenobacter swuensis DY53. Its description in RNAcentral is "TPP riboswitch aptamer (THI element)". It matches the Rfam family "TPP riboswitch aptamer (THI element)". Rfam says of the family: Vitamin B(1) in its active form thiamin pyrophosphate (TPP) is an essential coenzyme that is synthesised by coupling of pyrimidine and thiazole moieties in bacteria. The previously detected thiamin-regulatory element, thi box was extended, resulting in a new, highly conserved RNA secondary structure, the THI element, which is widely distributed in eubacteria and also occurs in some archaea. Analysis of operon structures identified a large number of new candidate thiamin-regulated genes, mostly transporters, in various prokaryotic organisms. RNAcentral also lists the same sequence under 1 other name. The record is from Rfam by way of RNAcentral. Lineage: Bacteria; Pseudomonadati; Bacteroidota; Cytophagia; Cytophagales; Hymenobacteraceae.
ACCAAAGUUUAGGGGUGCCUCGCUUAUGCGAGGCUGAGAUCAUACCCAUUGAACCUGCCCGGGUAAUGCCGGCGAAGGGAACAAACGAUCCGCGAACGA